This 507-nucleotide ribosomal RNA is filed under the name uncultured bacterium. RNAcentral's name for it is "partial 16S ribosomal RNA". It matches the Rfam family "Bacterial small subunit ribosomal RNA", at positions 28 to 523 of the family's 1533-position model. The record is from RNAcentral.
GACGAACGCUGGCGGCGCGCUUAACACAUGCAAGUCGAGCGAGAACCAGGCUUCGGCCUGGGGAAAGCGGCGAACGGGUGAGUAACACGUGGGUAACCCACCCUUGGCACUGGGAUAGCCCGAGGAAACUCGGAUUAAUACCGGAUGGCCCAACAGCUCUUCGGAGCGGUUGGAAAAGGUAGCUUCGGCCUCCGGCCAAGGACGGGCCCGCGGCGGAUUAGCUUGUUGGUGGGGUAACGGCCCACCAAGGCGACGAUCCGUAGCUGGUCUGAGAGGACGAUCAGCCACACUGGGACUGAGACACGGCCCAGACUCCUACGGGAGGCAGCAGUGGGGAAUCUUGCGCAAUGGGCGAAAGCCUGACGCAGCGACGCCGCGUGGGGGAAGAAGGCCUUCGGGUUGUAAAGCACUUUUGUCCGGAAAGAAAUCGCGCUGGUUAAUACCUGGCGUGGAUGACGGUACCGGAAGAAUAAGCACCGGCUAACUACGUGCCAGCCGCCGCGGUAA